Molecule: long non-coding RNA, 1164 nt
Filed under: Triticum aestivum (bread wheat)
Lineage: Eukaryota; Viridiplantae; Streptophyta; Magnoliopsida; Poales; Poaceae
Description: long non-coding RNA (TAES_LNC001747)
Source: RNAcentral
UUGGAGGCGAGUGGAAAGAAGAAAACUUCUGCACAAAUCGAUCAAGGUCCAAAAGAAUUUUUUAGGUACAUGCCACAUUAUAAUCAAAACAAUAAUGUUUUUGAUACAUAGAAUGUUCAUUCACAUAUACACAUGAACAAAGUGUCAAUCCCCUAUCCGAUAGAAAAAAAAUGAUCCAUCCACAACUAACCCGUGCCAAAUCUUCCUGAACUAAAAUACAUGCCAAACUUGGACCCUGAGAUCCUCGAGGUACCAAUUUUUAUGGGACGAUCUGUAAUAACAACAAUUACUUCAUGAGUUUGUAGUAUUGAAUGAAGCAGCAGUCUAUGCCAAAUUCGGACCAAGGUAACAGGAGCAAAAUAGCUAAACGGUAACAUGAAAAUAAAAUCAACACAUGUUACAAAAUUUGAGCAGGAACACUAGCAUGAUGACAUGAAUCUGCACACGCUAUGUAUUUGAGCAGGAUCUCAUUCACUUCAUCUGGAAACAAUUUAAUGAGACAAAAAUCAAGAAGCAAUUGGUUUGAGCAUAAUCCGGUAUUUACAAACAAGAAACAAAUUGUUGCCAACCUAGUUUUGUUCAAUGUAUAUUGCAUGAUUUAUGUAAUCUGGGUACAUUUUUUUCUUUGAACCCACCUCUAAAUUACUGCAAGCGUGCAACAAUCACAAAACACAACAUCUACUAUUUGCUGUGUUUUCUUCUUCUCCAGCAUAAAUUGAACUGCUGCAAGUAAUUGCUAAAAUUUAGCAUUGUUUUUUCUGUAGGGUGAAGAUGCAGGUAGCGCAAGUUGGCAUCGGAACAUGGAAAUGCAGGGGCUACGAUGAGCUAUGCAAAGGCCGCCUCGAGGCUGGGAGAAGUUCAGGAGAAGCACAAAAAUACCAUUGAACGGCCUGGGGAUGUGUCCUUGAACGACCCAAGGAGGCGGCGUUGAACAGUUUUUGGCGAUGCCGCGGCGGAGCCCCACCGAGAGGAGGCUGCGUCAUGGAGGGGCGAGCUUCAUGAUGGGCGACUGAGAGGAUGCGGAUUCCGCCUGAGAGCUCUGCCGGCGGCAUCAUCCAGGUGUCAAAGGAGUGGCGUGGAUCCACUUGGGCGGCGGCGGCGCGCAGGGAGGGUGAGUUGGGGUGGCGCCGUCGUGCAGGGAAGGUGGGUUGGGGCAGCGACGNN